GAUGAACGCUGGCGGCGUGCUUAACACAUGCAAGUCGAACGAAGCACUUUAUUUGAUUUCCUUCGGGACUGAUUAUUUUGUGACUGAGUGGCGGACGGGUGAGUAACGCGUGGGUAACCUGCCUUGUACAGGGGGAUAACAGUUGGAAACGGCUGCUAAUACCGCAUAAGCGCCCAGCAUCGCAUGAUGCAGUGUGAAAAACUCCGGUGGUAUAAGAUGGACCCGCGUUGGAUUAGCUAGUUGGUGAGGUAACGGCCCACCAAGGCGACGAUCCAUAGCCGACCUGAGAGGGUGACCGGCCACAUUGGGACUGAGACACGGCCCAAACUCCUACGGGAGGCAGCAGUGGGGAAUAGUGCACAAUGGGCGAAAGCCUGAUGCAGCGACGCCGCGUGAGCGAAGAAGUAUUUCGGUAUGUAAAGCUCUAUCAGCAGGGAAGAUAAUGACGGUACCUGACUAAGAAGCACCGGCUAAAUACGUG
Molecule: ribosomal RNA, 481 nt
Filed under: uncultured bacterium
Lineage: Bacteria
Description: partial 16S ribosomal RNA
Rfam family: Bacterial small subunit ribosomal RNA
Source: RNAcentral